ACGCUCGACACCUACGGAGGCAGCAGUGAGGAAUAUUGGUCAAUGGGCGCUAGCCUGAACCAGCCAAGUAGCGUGAAGGAUGAAGGCUCUAUGGGUCGUAAACUUCUUUUAUAUAAGAAUAAAGUGCAGUAUGUAUACUGUUUUGUAUGUAUUAUAUGAAUAAGGAUCGGCUAACUCCGUGCCAGUAGCCGCCGGUAAGUACUUGAGGCGGGCCGGUGGCGAAGGACG
RNAcentral lists this ribosomal RNA (228 nucleotides) under uncultured bacterium. RNAcentral describes it as "partial 16S ribosomal RNA". It matches the Rfam family "Bacterial small subunit ribosomal RNA", at positions 328 to 539 of the family's 1533-position model. The record is from RNAcentral.